RNAcentral lists this ribosomal RNA (253 nucleotides) under uncultured bacterium. RNAcentral describes it as "partial 16S ribosomal RNA". It matches the Rfam family "Bacterial small subunit ribosomal RNA", at positions 524 to 776 of the family's 1533-position model. The record is from RNAcentral.
UACGUAGGGCGCAAGCGUUAUCCGGAAUUAUUGGGCGUAAAGAGCUCGUAGGCGGUUUGUCGCGUCUGCCGUGAAAGUCCGGGGCUCAACUCCGGAUCUGCGGUGGGUACGGGCAGACUAGAGUGAUGUAGGGGAGACUGGAAUUCCUGGUGUAGCGGUGAAAUGCGUAGAUAUCAGGAGGAACACCGAUGGCGAAGGCAGGUCUCUGGGCAUUAACUGACGCUGAGGAGCGAAAGCAUGGGGAGCGAACAGG